RNAcentral lists this ribosomal RNA (707 nucleotides) under Priestia flexa. RNAcentral's name for it is "bacterial SSU rRNA". It matches the Rfam family "Bacterial small subunit ribosomal RNA", at positions 69 to 760 of the family's 1533-position model. Lineage: Bacteria; Bacillati; Bacillota; Bacilli; Caryophanales; Bacillaceae. The record is from RNAcentral.
UGAUUAGAAGCUUGCUUCUAUGACGUUAGCGGCGGACGGGGAGAAACACGUGGGCAACCUGCCUGUAAGACUGGGAUAACUCCGGGAAACCGGAGCUAAUACCGGAUAACAUUUUCUCUUGCAUAAGAGAAAAUUGAAAGAUGGUUUCGGCUAUCACUUACAGAUGGGCCCGCGGUGCAUUAGCUAGUUGGUGAGGUAACGGCUCACCAAGGCAACGAUGCAUAGCCGACCUGAGAGGGUGAUCGGCCACACUGGGACUGAGACACGGCCCAGACUCCUACGGGAGGCAGCAGUAGGGAAUCUUCCGCAAUGGACGAAAGUCUGACGGAGCAACGCCGCGUGAGUGAUGAAGGCUUUCGGGUCGUAAAACUCUGUUGUUAGGGAAGAACAAGUACAAGAGUAACUGCUUGUACCUUGACGGUACCUAACCAGAAAGCCACGGCUAACUACGUGCCAGCAGCCGCGGUAAUACGUAGGUGGCAAGCGUUAUCCGGAAUUAUUGGGCGUAAAGCGCGCGCAGGCGGUUUCUUAAGUCUGAUGUGAAAGCCCACGGCUCAACCGUGGAGGGUCAUUGGAAACUGGGGGAACUUGAGUGCAGAAGAGAAAAGCGGAAUUCCACGUGUAGCGGUGAAAUGCGUAGAGAUGUGGAGGAACACCAGUGGCGAAGCGGCUUUUUUGGUCUGUAACUGACGCUGAGGCGCGAAAGC